UGCCAUAUCAAUAAGCGGAGGAAAAGAAACCAACAGGGAUUGCCUCAGUAACGGCGAGUGAAGCGGCAAAAGCUCAAAUUUGAAAUCUAGCACCUUCGGUGUUCGAGUUGUAAUUUGAAGAUGGUAACCUUGGGUUUGGCUCUUGUCUAUGUUCCUUGGAACAGGACGUCAUAGAGGGUGAGAAUCCCGUCUGAUGAGAUGCCCAUUCCUAUGUAAGGUGCUAUCGAAGAGUCGAGUUGUUUGGGAAUGCAACUCUAAGUGGGUGGUAAAUUCCAUCUAAAGCUAAAUAUUGGCGAGAGACCGAUAGCGAACAAGUACAGUGAUGGAAAGAUGAAAAGAACUUUGAAAAGAGAGUGAAAAAGUACGUGAAAUAAAAGAAAGGGAAGGGCAUUAGAUCAGACUUGGUGUUUUACGAUUAUCUUCUCUUCUUGAGUUGUGCACUCGUAUUUCACUGGGCCAGCAUCGAUUCGGAUGGCAAGAUAAUGGCAGUUGAAUGUGGCUUCACUUCGGUGGAGUGUUAUGGCUCUGCUGAUUUGCCUGUCGGACGAGGGAUGCACUUUACAGGUUCCAACUAAUAGCAAUCGGUGAUAG
Molecule: ribosomal RNA, 591 nt
Filed under: Hansenula anomala
Lineage: Eukaryota; Fungi; Ascomycota; Saccharomycetes; Phaffomycetales; Wickerhamomycetaceae
Description: eukaryotic LSU rRNA
Rfam family: Eukaryotic large subunit ribosomal RNA
Source: RNAcentral